This is a long non-coding RNA of Lineus longissimus, 1271 nucleotides long. RefSeq lists it as uncharacterized. The record is from RefSeq and is a predicted model, not a curated record. The transcript has 4 exons. Lineage: Eukaryota; Metazoa; Nemertea; Pilidiophora; Heteronemertea; Lineidae.
CGUGAACACCACCAUGAAGCCCCGACGUCCUUUGAACUUUCAAGAAAUGGUGGAUUGCUCCAUCUCGUGUGGUUUCGCUGUCCCGUCCCAAGAAUCGAGCCAACGCGACCGAGGCCACUUCUGAGAGAUAAAUAUUCAGGAUGCCAGAUUUGUGGAACACAAUUGAGGCCAGUAGUCAAGAGCCAUGAUCAGGGAACAGCAGUUCCCAACGGAAUUGACCCUUUUCUUGUUGUAAUUCAUGCUGUUGGCUCAGAAUGGGUUGACACUCACCUGUUUUCGACCCUGAAAAUUAAACAUCGAACAUUGUUAUUCUUUGUUAAAAAUGAACCUUGCAAAAUAUGUGCUUAUUCCUGAAAUCAAUAGCACUUCAUGUAUGUACUCGCUGUUCCAGAAUAUUGCUAUUUCUUGUUCCGUUUUCAAUGUGGCAAUCCAUUUACCGUAUCGGAGCUAUUUCACAGCACAAGAAGUGCAACAUUACAACAAUGGAGCUAUUUUUUGAUCACAGCAAAAAUGUGUUUCUACAUUGUUUUACUCAAAUGAUGCAUGGAUGAGCCUUAUUGACAUAUUUGUUUUCAAGAGGAAUUGGUUGUAGGUUUUCUUUCUUUUUUCUUAAGGCAGGCCUAAUUUAACGGAAGGCCUAUAUUUUAGGUAGGAUAUUAUUUAUUCUAUAGGCCCAUAUCAGUUUUGAGAUCAAUUUCCUCUUGAAGACAAUAAACGUCAAUCGAGUCUCUGCACCAUUUUGAUUGGGCGGUUUUGGGCUAAAAUACAGUACAAGAGAAUGCUCCGUUGGUGUUAACAGAAUAUGUCAUUGUUUUGGUCAGCAAUCAGUUCUUGCCACCUUGAAAGCGGUCACGGUUACUUACGACUUGUACAUUGUUCAAUUGUUAUUAUGCUAUUGUCAUUUGCCUUCCCCCCCGCGCGCCCCAACCUUAUCGACACUCACAGUGCACCACCCUCCAUCCCAUGCCCCACAUGCGCACUGACCCAACAUCUGAUCCCUUGACACCCAUGACCCGCAUGCGCACUGACCCAACAUCUGAUCCCUUGACACGCUUGCUCAAGCGCCUCAAGCAGUAUCAACGUUGUGUUAUUGUAUUCCAAGGUUUGCAUUAUUCAUAUGUAUGUACUUGCCAAAUAAAUGUUGUCAUAUCAUAACCUUCGUCUCUUGUCCUUCGGUCAAUAAGUGUGCGGAUCACUCCCAACAAGUUCGAUUAACACACUACACUAUCUUCACGUGCAACAAUUUACGGUCAGCCUUUUCUGAUUCCGCA